Molecule: ribosomal RNA, 612 nt
Filed under: Trichormus sp. MACC 123
Lineage: Bacteria; Bacillati; Cyanobacteriota; Cyanophyceae; Nostocales; Nostocaceae
Description: bacterial SSU rRNA
Rfam family: Bacterial small subunit ribosomal RNA
Source: RNAcentral
CAUCGGGAGCUACCAUGCAGUCGACGGUCUCUUCGGAGAUAGUGGCGGACGGGUGAGUAACGCGUGAGAAUCUAGCUUCAGGUCGGGGACAACCACUGGAAACGGUGGCUAAUACCGGAUGUGCCGAAAGGUGAAAGAUUUAUUGCCUGAAGAUGAGCUCGCGUCUGAUUAGCUAGUUGGUGUGGUAAGAGCGCACCAAGGCGACGAUCAGUAGCUGGUCUGAGAGGAUGAUCAGCCACACUGGGACUGAGACACGGCCCAGACUCCUACGGGAGGCAGCAGUGGGGAAUUUUCCGCAAUGGGCGAAAGCCUGACGGAGCAAUACCGCGUGAGGGAGGAAGGCUCUUGGGUUGUAAACCUCUUUUCUCAGGGAAUAAAAAAAUGAAGGUACCUGAGGAAUAAGCAUCGGCUAACUCCGUGCCAGCAGCCGCGGUAAUACGGAGGAUGCAAGCGUUAUCCGGAAUGAUUGGGCGUAAAGCGUCCGCAGGUGGCACUGUAAGUCUGCUGUUAAAGAGCAAGGCUCAACCUUGUAAAGGCAGUGGAAACUACAGAGCUAGAGUACGUUCGGGGCAGAGGGAAUUCCUGGUGUAGCGGUGAAUUGGCGUAGAAAUA